RNAcentral lists this non-coding RNA (29 nucleotides) under Rattus norvegicus (Norway rat). The record is from RNAcentral. Lineage: Eukaryota; Metazoa; Chordata; Mammalia; Rodentia; Muridae.
UGACAGCAUAGACAAACAUGUGAUGCCGC